RNAcentral lists this ribosomal RNA (253 nucleotides) under uncultured bacterium. RNAcentral's name for it is "partial 16S ribosomal RNA". It matches the Rfam family "Bacterial small subunit ribosomal RNA", at positions 524 to 776 of the family's 1533-position model. The record is from RNAcentral.
UACAUGGGGUGCAAACGUUGCUCGGAAUUAUUGGGCGUAAAGCGCGUGUAGGCGGUCCGGUAAGUCCGCUGUGAAAGUCGGGGGCUCAACCCUCGGAUGCCGGUGGAUACUGUCGGGCUUGAGUACGGAAGAGGCGAGUGGAAUUCCUGGUGUAGCGGUGAAAUGCGCAGAUAUCAGGAGGAACACCAAUUGCGAAGGCAGCUCGCUGGGACGUUACUGACGCUGAGACGCGAAAGCGUGGGGAGCAAACAGG